This 268-nucleotide long non-coding RNA is filed under the name Citrus maxima (pomelo). RNAcentral describes it as "long non-coding RNA (CMAX_LNC003989)". Lineage: Eukaryota; Viridiplantae; Streptophyta; Magnoliopsida; Sapindales; Rutaceae. The record is from RNAcentral.
CUCAGAUUACAACUCAUAUACAUGAGACUAUUAUUGAUAUUUAUAAAUCAGACUAUUACUGGGACCAACUGACAUCAAUACUAAUGGAGCUCUGCCCAGAUUUUAACCCUCACAAAUAUUUGAGGGAUGUCUACUCCUCACUCAUGGGUAAGGGAGAAGACUACCUUCACUCAAAUUAAUUGAGGAAGAAAAUACCCCCACAAUACUUUUGUGGGGGUUCGAACUGCUGCCCUCCAAGUUGGAGGGCAGCAGCCCUGGCCACUCGGGC